RNAcentral lists this ribosomal RNA (2047 nucleotides) under Cryptoderma formosense. RNAcentral's name for it is "SSU rRNA". Lineage: Eukaryota; Metazoa; Arthropoda; Insecta; Coleoptera; Curculionidae. The record is from RNAcentral.
AGUCAUAUGCUUGUCUCAAAGAUUAAGCCAUGCAUGUCUCAGUACAAGCCAAAUUAAGGUGAAACCGCGAAAGGCUCAUUAAAUCAGUUAUGGUUCCUUAGAUCGUACCCACAAUUACUUGGAUAACUGUGGUAAUUCUAGAGCUAAUACAUGCAAACAGAGCUCCGACCGGAGACGGAAGGAGUGCUUUUAUUAGAUCAAAACCAAUCGGUNGGCGGGUUCGCGCUCGUCAUCGUACAACUUGGUGACUCUGAAUAACUUUCAGCUGAUCGCACGGUCUCGCACCGGCGACGCAUCUUUCAAAUGUCUGCCUUAUCAACUGUCGAUGGUAGGUUCUACGCCUACCAUGGUCGUAACGGGUAACGGGGAAUCAGGGUUCGAUUCCGGAGAGGGAGCCUGAGAAACGGCUACCACAUCCAAGGAAGGCAGCAGGCGCGCAAAUUACCCACUCCCGGCACGGGGAGGUAGUGACGAAAAAUAACGAUACGGGACUCAUCCGAGGCCCCGUAAUCGGAAUGAGUACACUCUAAACCCUUUAACGAGGAUCAAUUGGAGGGCAAGUCUGGUGCCAGCAGCCGCGGUAAUUCCAGCUCCAAUAGCGUAUAUUAAAGUUGUUGCGGUUAAAAAGCUCGUAGUCGAAUUUGUGUCUCGCGCCGCCGGUUCAUCGUCCGCGGUGUUAACUGGCGUGUUUCGCGAGACGUCCUGCCGGUGGGCUUAGCCGUUGCCGUUUCGCGCGCGCUCGCGCGUUCGGGCACGUGCUCGUGUGUGUCGUUCUCGUCCUCGCGGCGAUUCGCGCGCGCGGGUGCGGGUUUCGUUUCACGCGUGUCGCGUCGGGGCGGUUUCUACGGCGGCCCAACUCAAUCCUGCCGCGGUGCUCUUCAUCGAGUGUCGAGGUGGGCCGGCACGUUUACUUUGAACAAAUUAGAGUGCUUAAAGCAGGCUAAAAUUUCGCCUGAAUACUGUGUGCAUGGAAUAAUGGAAUAGGACCUCGGUUCUAUUUUGUUGGUUUUCGGAACCCCGAGGUAAUGAUUAAUAGGAACGGAUGGGGGCAUUCGUAUUGCGACGUUAGAGGUGAAAUUCUUGGAUCGUCGCAAGACGAACGGAAGCGAAAGCAUUUGCCAAAAACGCUUUCAUUGAUCAAGAACGAAAGUUAGAGGUUCGAAGGCGAUCAGAUACCGCCCUAGUUCUAACCUUAAACGAUGCCAGCUAGCGAUCCGUCGACGUUCCUCCGAUGACUCGACGGGCAGCUUCCGGGAAACCAAAGCUUUUGGGUUCCGGGGGAAGUAUGGUUGCAAAGCUGAAACUUAAAGGAAUUGACGGAAGGGCACCACCAGGAGUGGAGCCUGCGGCUUAAUUUGACUCAACACGGGAAACCUCACCAGGCCCGGACACCGGAAGGAUUGACAGAUUGAGAGCUCUUUCUUGAUUCGGUGGGUGGUGGUGCAUGGCCGUUCUUAGUUGGUGGAGCGAUUUGUCUGGUUAAUUCCGAUAACGAACGAGACUCUAGCCUGCUAACUAGGCGCUAUUUAUUGACAUCGCAAAGGCCCGCCGGCGCGUCGUUCUGGGUYCGUGCGCGCUCCGCGCGUGUACGGGCUCGGUCGCGUGUCGCGCGCGGUUUUUACUGUCGGCGUACAAACAAUUCUUCUUAGAGGGACAGGCGGCUUCUAGCCGCACGAGAUUGAGCAAUAACAGGUCUGUGAUGCCCUUAGAUGUUCUGGGCCGCACGCGCGCUACACUGAAGGAAUCAGCGUGUCCUCCCUGGCCGAGCGGCCCGGGUAACCCGCNUGAACCUCCUUCGUGCUAGGGAUUGGGGCUUGCAAUUGUUCCCCAUGAACNGAGGAAUNUCCCAGUAAGNCGCGAGUCAUAAGCUCGCGUUGAUUACGUCCCUGCCCUUUGUACACACCGCCCGUCGCUACUACCGAUUGAAUGAUUUAGUGAGGUCUUCGGAUCGACACGCGAUGGNNCGUUUCGGCGUCGUCGAUGUNGUAAGAGAAGAUGACCAAACUUGAUCAUUUAGAGGAAGUAAAAGUCGUAACAAGGUUUCCGU